Molecule: ribosomal RNA, 671 nt
Filed under: Gracilibacillus sp. YIM 94049
Lineage: Bacteria; Bacillati; Bacillota; Bacilli; Caryophanales; Bacillaceae
Description: bacterial SSU rRNA
Rfam family: Bacterial small subunit ribosomal RNA
Source: RNAcentral
GAGCGCGGGAAGCAAAAAGAUCUCUUCGGAGUGACAUUUGUGGAACGAGCGGCGGACGGGUGAGUAACACGUGGGCAACCUGCCUGUAAGACUGGGAUAACUCCGGGAAACCGGGGCUAAUACCGGAUAAUACUUUUCUUCGCAUGAAGGAAAGUUGAAAGAUGGCCUUUGGCUAUCACUUACAGAUGGGCCCGCGGCGCAUUAGCUAGUUGGUGAGGUAAGAGCUCACCAAGGCAACGAUGCGUAGCCGACCUGAGAGGGUGAUCGGCCACACUGGGACUGAGACACGGCCCAGACUCCUACGGGAGGCAGCAGUAGGGAAUCUUCCGCAAUGGACGAAAGUCUGACGGAGCAACGCCGCGUGAACGAAGAAGGUUUUCGGAUCGUAAAGUUCUGUUGUUAGGGAAGAACAAGUACCGUUCUAAUAGGGCGGUACCUUGACGGUACCUAUCGAGGAAGCCCCGGCUAACUACGUGCCAGCAGCCGCGGUAAUACGUAGGGGGCAAGCGUUGUCCGGAAUUAUUGGGCGUAAAGCGCGCGUAGGCGGUUUCUUAAGUCUGAUGUGAAAUCUUGCGGCUCAACCGCAAGCGGUCAUUGGAAACUGGGGAACUUGAGUGCAGAAGAGGAGAGCGGAAUUCCACGUGUAGCGGUGAAAUGCGUAGAUAUGUGGA